AAUAAGUGUAGUUUUGCACCGUUCAUAUCUAAUGUGUGACCGUUCGUCUUAUUUGUUUUUUAUGAUUAAUAUUUUUAUUGUUAUUAGAUCUAAAACAUGAAUAGUACUUUAUGUGUGACUAUUUUUAAAAAAAAAUCAUAAUUUUUCAAAUAAGACGGACGGUCAAACGUUGGACACGGAUAUCCACGGCUACACUUAUU
This is a non-coding RNA of Oryza glumipatula, 200 nucleotides long. The record is from Rfam. Lineage: Eukaryota; Viridiplantae; Streptophyta; Magnoliopsida; Poales; Poaceae.